UCAAAUGCCAUGAAAACGAUCAAAAAGUGCUUUUUGACUUCAAUAACGUGUACAUAAAAAUAGAUAAAGGACGAAAAAUGUAAAAUAAAAGUUUUAAACGAAUUAUGUAGGUAUUCUUGGAGUGCAUAUUGUCCUAUUGUAAUCAAAACACAAAAAAAAAGUAAUGUAGACAACAAAUAGUCAUGAAAAUAAAAUAUACUUAUAUCCAAUUAUGAAAACCAAAUGUCCAGAGAUAAUAUUUUGAAUAAAAUACCUACCUAAUUUUACACUAAAAACUCGUACCUUUUAUUCUCUAUUUACGUACAUAGAGUAAAUUAAAGUAUAAUCACGCACUAA
This is a non-coding RNA of Cinara cedri, 336 nucleotides long. The record is from the annotation of a GenBank genome assembly. Lineage: Eukaryota; Metazoa; Arthropoda; Insecta; Hemiptera; Aphididae.